CACACACACACACACACACACACACACGUACACACGUGUGCACACACACGCACACAUGCACAAUUCACUGCAGACUCUCUCUCACAUGGUCAGACACCUAUAACCAUUAGUUAGAGCUGGGUCUAGGUGACCUAAGUAAAUGGCAGUGUAGCAUCUUUAGUGGAGAAAAAAAAAAGAAGAGAAACAAUUCCAUGUGCAUCUGCAAUUUCUGGGACCGAUGUGUCAUAUUUCUAAUAAUAAUAAUAACAGAAGGAUAUAUUUACGGAGUAUAUUUUUCAUGCAUCAUCUCAACAUACACAAUGAUGGAGUUGGUGAUUGAAGCAUAGUUAAGUAGUGGGUAGCCAGACUUUCUGAUGCAUGAUUUGCUGUCAGAAAGCGCAGGCUUGGGUCCCACCUCCGACACUUACUAGAUGUGUGUCUCAGUGAGACAUUCAGUUUCAUCAGGGCUUUAUAUUGCAUCUGAAAAGUAAAAUUAAAAUAACUGCAACUUCAUAACAUCAUUGGUAAGAGGACAGGAAAUAUGACUAUGAAAAGUGUUUAAACAGUCUAUGGAUUUAUUAGUCACAUUGUAAUUGUUUUCUUAUUUUUACUUUUAAAAAUAAUUAUCAUUGAUAUUUUCUUCCUGAACAAGGACUUAAGAGUUAAUGAGGCAUAUUUUCAUUGCAUUUAAUAUUUCUCAGCCCAGAUCCGCUCAUCUGUGAAUUAGCAGUGAAAAUAUCUGCCUUUCCUAUUUCAAAUAAACUAAAUUUUGUUAUUUGCAAACAAACUGCUAAAUAAAUAUUAUGUAAUUAAAUAUAGCAUACAAAGAGAUAUACUGAGGAAAUUUAUAUGAAUAGCAUGGAAGCACAAAUGGCAAUAUAAUUGUUCAAAUAUUUUGAUCUCCUAAAGAAGCUCCAAAUGGAUUUUAUUUCAAUCUUCAAGUUGGCUGUAACAUCAUUUUUUUUAAAAUAUUUAAUCCUAAGUAACCCCAAAGUUCCAAAUAAUUUUUACUACGUAUUUAUUCAUAUUUUUGCUUGUGUACAAGAGCUCAUAACUUUAUUCUUUAAUCACUGAAUUAUUUCAAUAUUUUAAUAUUCAUUCUUCAAUCAAAAGACAAAUAUUUGUCUUAUUGUGCUUAUUCCCCUACCAUGAGCCAGACACUUCUACAUACAGGACAUGUAGCAGUGAACAAAAUGGGCCAACGCACCUGCCACCCUGAUGCUCGAAUUCUAGUAGUUUACAAUCUGUAUUACCAUUGAAAUUUUUCACCCGGCUUUCAGUGGAGACCCUUCUUCUGUUUUAAUUUCAAAUAUUAUUCUUGGAGAGUUUCUAUUCAUCUUCUGCCAUCGGUUUAUUAUAUCAAAGAAAAAGUCAACAUGGAAUAGGUUUAAGCCUUAAAAUGCACAGAGGACCAACAGAAUGGAUUCAUGCUGACAAAUCUAGACAAGAAAUCCCUGCCUCUGUUUAGGACGAUCUAUUUGGCUCGAGGUAGAUUUCACCUUGAGAAAGCAUGUUUCAACAACAACUUAAAACCUCCACUGACCCUGGGAGAAAAAAUCUGGAGGAGAAGCUAUCUGAGAGAUGAUGAAAAGGGAGUCUCUGGCUCAUGUGAACAUACUAAUGCAAAUGAGCAGAUCUUUUGCCUUAUUUUAUCUGCACAAUUCACCUUUUUCUUUAAUAUUCAUUUUAUAGACCUAAUAUUUAUACCACAUAGACCUCACCUGUAGCUACUUUUCUUAUAUGGUUUCUAAUCUCCAGUCUUCAUUGAGAAGACAUGACUUAGCAGCUUUGCCAAAGUUCAGGUGCUAGUUGUUGGAAAUGCUGGAACAUGGAGCUAGCUAUUCUGAUCUCAAGUUUCAAGCUCCUUUCAUCAAAUUAUACUGUAGGAGUUCCCUUUGUGGCUUAGCCUUUAAUGAACCUGACUAUGAUACAUGAGGAUGGAUUAAACCUGCAACCUCAUGGUUCCCAGUUGGAUUCAUUUCUGCUGGGCCACAAUGGGAACUCCCAAUAUACUGUUUUUAAUUAGAUCAUACACUUAAUUUGAAUGGUUUUGAGGGACCCUUGAUGGGAUCGUAGUGGUGGCGAAUUCUUGUAACCUCUUAAUCCUCUUUGGCUUUUUUCCAGAUAAUUAUUCAUAUAAUAUAUACAAAUUUAUCUGUAUUCUAAAAUUUUCCAGAAGUUAUGCCAGCUCAAAGAGAGAAUGAUAGAGAACUCCAGGUAGAAGGGGAUUCACAUCUCCAACUGCCUUUUUCUAAUUGACUGACCUGGAAAAAAUUACUAAUUGUGUGUGUGUGUAUUGUUGUUGUCAUUACUUAUAGAUGGAGAAAUAAUAAUAGCAAACUCAUGGCUUUAUUGUAAAGAGAAAAUGUGCUAGCAUAUGUAAAAUGCAUGAUCUUCAUUAGGGUUAAUGAAGGUAUCUCCUGCUCUUUAUUUCUGUUAAUGAACAGAGUAGGAGUUUUGUGCUGUAGAGUAAUUUAUUUGUCUGGUCAAGGAGUGUAGAAAAACUCUCUCCCUUAGUGAUUCAUGAGGCAAGUUUGUAUAUCAAGGGCUCUUUGUACGUUCUGCAGAAAGAAAUCUGUUCUGUUGUGGUUUAAUUCAGGAUCUCCCACAGUUUAAUUGUCAGAGGACUCUUACUUGAAUCAUGCGACUAACUUCCUAUCAAACUCAAGCUGCCUAGAACAUAUUUGAGGGAACACUAGACAAUAAAACCAUUGAAAUGUCAAUAUAUACAUCAAAACUCGUAUGGCCACACAUCCUACUUUUUCUUCAAUCUCAUCCAAAUUCUACCCACAGCCUACUUCAGAACUUUUCACAAAGCUUUAAUAGUAGAUUUAAAAUGUUUGGGUACCUACUGUUCUCUAUUAUAGAGAAAAGAUUUUUAAAACUACAUUACCUAUUCUGAACAUAUAGCUUAAAAUGUUGGCCAUUUUCUUGUUUUUAUUUUUAGACUGACUUCUUAACAUUGUUUUAAAUGGAAAAAAAUCAUACAUUCGAUUUAUAAUAUAUUUUCAAAGAACAUAAUUUUUACUAAAUUAAAAGUCUAUUUAUAUUUAACAUUCAAACUACUUACUUUUAAAAAUGUCUAUCUGAUUUUUACAAUGAUAAAUGUUUUAGAGAAAUGGAAACAUUUAAAUUAAAAGAAACGUAUAUCAGCUUCAUGAACUUUUACAAAUUUAUCAUCUUGAGUUUCUACUGAGAUCAAGUUAUAUAAAAAAAAACUGAAACUCUUAUACAUCAACACUCCAAUAUUGGUAAUUAUAAGUCAGCUGGGAAAAUGGUUUAUCCUAGAGGGGGAAAAAUAUUCUAUUUUGUAACUAGUAAAAAAAAUUAAAAUCUUUCCCAUAUGACUUGGACAAUAUUUUACUCUUUUUUGUUCUUAUUCAAAAUGAAAGAGUUUGUAAAACAUGCAAUUUUAUAUAAUGCUAUGUUAACAUAUUUAUUAAGUACAAGGUAAGAUUAGUUACAACAUGGACUUAAGAAACAAUGACCUGGGCUCUGUGGGUUACGAACCCGGUUAGUGUCCCUGAGGAUGCGGAUUCGAUCCCUGGCCUCACUCAGUGGGUUGAGGAUCUGGCAUUGCUGUGAGCUGUGGUGUAGGUUGUAGAGGCAGCUCGGGAUCCCAUGUUACUGUGGCUGUGGUGUAGGCCAACAGCUGCAGCUCCAGUUCAAACCGUA
Molecule: long non-coding RNA, 3654 nt
Filed under: Sus scrofa (pig)
Lineage: Eukaryota; Metazoa; Chordata; Mammalia; Artiodactyla; Suidae
Description: lncRNA (ENSSSCG00025002482.1)
Source: RNAcentral